Non-coding RNA from Acyrthosiphon pisum (pea aphid), 46 nucleotides. NCBI's taxonomy places the organism in Eukaryota, Metazoa, Arthropoda, Insecta, Hemiptera, Aphididae. The record is from Rfam.
AAAAUGGUCCUUUUCAGGACUACCAAACAUAACAGCAUGGCAAUGU